RNAcentral lists this unclassified non-coding RNA (262 nucleotides) under Apiotrichum dulcitum. RNAcentral's name for it is "sequence contains 5.8S rRNA gene". The stretch from base 1 to 53 matches the Rfam family "5.8S ribosomal RNA", at positions 102 to 154 of the family's 154-position model. Lineage: Eukaryota; Fungi; Basidiomycota; Tremellomycetes; Trichosporonales; Trichosporonaceae. The record is from RNAcentral.
GAACGCAACUUGCGCUCUCUGGUAUUCCGGAGAGCAUGCCUGUUUGAGUGUCAUGAAAUCUCAACCAUUAGGGUUUCUUAAUGGCUUGGAUUUGGAGGUUGCCAUUCUAAAUGGCUCCUCUUAAAGGAGUUAGCAGGUUUUACUAUUGCUAUCUGGCGUAAUAAGUUUCGCUGGAAUGGUAUUGUGAAGCGUGCUUCUAAUCGUCUUCGGACAAUUACUUUGACUCUGGCCUCAAAUCAGGUAGGACUACCCGCUGAACUUA